CGGGGACUCUUAAAAAAUUUUGCGAACUAAACAAGGCCUAAUUAACAUAUGUAAACACUUUUAUUAUUAUCUAAUUUUUCAUAUUUUUUCUUUCUCUUUUUUCUAUAUAUAAGUUUUCACUUUUUUCUUUAUUUUUUUCUUUCUUUUUUGCUUUAUUUUUUUCUCUGUCUUAGUUAGCGGCCGGCGCGCUCGCGGGGGGCUCGUCCGCCGGUGGGGGGCGCGCGCGGCCGCCGGCGUAAGGCGUGGGAUCCAGGGCCCCGCGCGCCACUGCCCCUGCCGGUGGGCGUUGUCGGGCGCCGAGGGCGCGCCCGCGCGUGGCGGCGGCAGGCGAGCUUGCGAGCUCACGAGGCGGCGGGCGCGCGCAAACGAAGAGAGAGGGAGUAGAGGCGCGCGCAAACAAGAAAGAGAGAGAGGGAGUACGGCGGGGUGGUGCUCGGGCUGGUGCUCGGAGUUGGGUUGACGGCGGCGAGCAAGGACGAUGACGACGGCGGCGCGACGUUGGACGAAGAAGACGGAGCGGCGCGGCGGCGGUUAGGGCAAGAUCGACGAGGGCGCGGAGAAGAAGGAGAAAGAAGGGCUCUGCCCUUUAUAGGGCAGGGCACUAAAGGGUCUUAGUCCCGGUUCCAGCCUGGAACCGGGGCUAAAGAUCCUUUAGUCUCGGGCCGUGGCUCGGUCCGGAACUAAAGGUGUUUCACCAAAUUAUAGCGCUUUUCAGGCGCCAUAAUUUGGUUUCUCUUUUUUAUUUUCUCUUUACAUUGUUAAAUGCAUUAUAAAUUAAAUAAAUCUGAUAAAAUUGUUAAAAAAUACACAUUAAUUUUAUUGUGCUCUACUCUUCAGUAUAAAAAUCCUUAACAUAAUUGUUUUUAAAAAUUUCAUAUUAUUCAAAAUAAAUGUUAUUCAUAAUGAAUAUUGUGAUAAUGCAAAAAUAUAAUGGCCAACUAAAUUUUAAAAAAUUAUUGGCUUUAGACAGAUACUUGGUUUUUGGGUCAUUUGGACGUUAAACUUUUGUUUCUUUAAUAAUAAUUAUACAAAUGCGCGACAUUGAUUGUAUAAAUUUGAAAUUUAAAUUUUUGAAAAGUUAUAAGAUGGAUUUUGGAACCAUAGAUGGCCUCAAAUGGAAAACUCAUGAAUACAAAGUUUGAUCCACUCAUCAAGACCUACAUUUUCUCUAAUGGUCACAUUUUCAUUUGAAAAAGUUUGGACCACUCAAUUUUAAAAUUUGAAAUAAUUCAUAGCGAAACGCUAAUUUUCAGAACCAUGGAUUGCCUCAAAUGAAAAACUCAUGAAUACCAAUAUUGCUCCACUUAUCAAGAUCUAUAUUUCAUAUAUAGACCAUUUUUGUAUUUGACAAAGUACUCGCAAAGUGUAGUUCAAAAUUAACACUUUCCACGUAUAGUUUCAUAUAGUUUGUGUGAGAUUUA
This 1421-nucleotide long non-coding RNA is filed under the name Sorghum bicolor (sorghum). RNAcentral's name for it is "long non-coding RNA (SBIC_LNC018165)". Lineage: Eukaryota; Viridiplantae; Streptophyta; Magnoliopsida; Poales; Poaceae. The record is from RNAcentral.